AAGAUUAACACUCUCAACAACAUAUGCAUUUAUUAAAAGCUAGUUGAAACUGAGUACAUAUAAAGUUGGUACGGGAAACCCCAAACCAGGCCUUACUAACAAAAAAACGAGCAUGAACACUAGCAAGCUACUAGUAGUGGUAGUACUAGGCCUGGCCCAAACCCACUACCACCAAAGUGAUUGUCCAGGGCCCAAAACUAAAAGGGGCAUGAAAAAAAAAUUCCAAAUAAACUAGGUAUAAAAAAAUAAAAAAAAUGUCCAGAGCCCAAAUAGGGGCCUGGAGGGCAAGAGCCCAAGUUUGACAAAAGAUGAAAAAAUGGCCUAGUUGUAGAGCAUUACCAAAAUAAUAAUAAUAAUAAUAAUAAAUAAAUAAAUAAAUAAACAUAAGAGGGACCACUCAGUCCCUAAUUAACCCCAACUUCCAAAUACAUCCACCCUUUUCCUGAUUCUCCACCCCACUUCCUCACUAUCCUGGCGUCCUUGACUCCCUUUUCUUUUCUCCCAAUUCCAUUGGCUGCAAGUGAGUGAUUUAUUGUUUCCUGAGUUGGCAACUGCAAGCUGUUGUGCAGCCAGACAAGUCCCUCCUUCUCAGCUCAGCGCCAUUCACCAUUGGCUGCAAGUGCAUUCACCAACCCCUUUGAGUUUUAAGUAAUUAAUUGGAUAAAGGAGGCUUGUGGGGUGGCUUGUAGAGGUUUUGUGGUGGAUUCUUCUCUAGUGGCUGCUUGUACAAGUCUUCUAAAGGCUCAUGAUCAAUCUAAAUCGGCGGUUGGUUUCAGUCCCUUGCAAGGUUUGCCAUCCAAUUCAACUGACUUCUCCACUUCCAAAGUAGGAGGCUUAUGAAUUGGUGGCUUGUGUGGUGGUUUAUGAGGUGGCUUAUGGUGAUCAACAAAAGAAUAAGUGCUGAGAAGUAUCACACCCAGGAGAAUACGAGAAGCCAUUUUGGUGACAUCGUUACGGGAACUAGCGAGAUGUGCGAACUGUGUGACAUGAGUGGUGCAAAACUAGUGCAAGUCCGGUGGCCUUUUAUUAGGCCAUCUCCAACUGAAGGAGGGCCAGAGGGCUCGUUUCCCUCCAAAAAAUUAAUAUUUUAAUGAACAGUACAGGGCCAUAUUUUUUA
Molecule: long non-coding RNA, 1117 nt
Organism: Pyrus x bretschneideri (Chinese white pear)
Lineage: Eukaryota; Viridiplantae; Streptophyta; Magnoliopsida; Rosales; Rosaceae
Exons: 2
Source: RefSeq, a predicted model, not a curated record